GUAAUAGCUCACUGGUCGAGUCGGCCCGCGCGGAAGAUGUAACGGGGCUAAACCAUGCACCGAAGCUGCGGCAGCGACACAAAGUGUUGUUGGGUAGGGGAGCGUUCUGUAAGCCUGCGAAGGUGUACUGUGAGGUAUGCUGGAGGUAUCAGAAGUGCGAAUGCUGACAUAAGUAACGAUAAUGCGGGUGAAAAACCCGCACGCCGGAAGACCAAGGGUUCCUGUCCAACGUUAAUCGGGGCAGGGUGAGUCGACCCCUAAGGCGAGGCUGAAAAGCGUAGUCGAUGGGAAACGGGUUAAUAUUCCCGUACUGGUGGUAACUGCGAUGGGGGAACGGAGAAGGCUAGGUUGUCCGGGCGACGGUCGUCCCGGUUCAAGCAGGUAGGCAGAGUGAUUAGGCAAAUCCGGUCACUUAAUGCUGAGAUGUGAUGACGAACCACUAAGGUGGUGAAGCAAUUGAUGCCCCGCUUCCAGGAAAAGCCUCUAAGCUUCAGGUUACCAACAAUCGUACCCCAAACCGACACAGGUGGUCAGGUAGAGAAUACUCAGGCGCUUGAGAGAACUCGGGUGAAGGAACUAGGCAAAAUGGUGCCGUAACUUCGGGAGAAGGCACGCUGGCGGUAGGUAAAGUCCCUCGCGGACAGAGCUGAAGCCAGUCGAAGAUACCAGCUGGCUGCAACUGUUUAUUAAAAACACAGCACUGUGCAAACACGAAAGUGGACGUAUACGGUGUGACGCCUGCCCGGUGCUGGAAGGUUAAUUGAUGGGGU
This 770-nucleotide ribosomal RNA is filed under the name Proteus mirabilis. Its description in RNAcentral is "partial 23S ribosomal RNA". It matches the Rfam family "Bacterial large subunit ribosomal RNA", at positions 1134 to 1890 of the family's 2925-position model. The record is from RNAcentral. Lineage: Bacteria; Pseudomonadati; Pseudomonadota; Gammaproteobacteria; Enterobacterales; Morganellaceae.